Molecule: ribosomal RNA, 368 nt
Filed under: uncultured bacterium
Lineage: Bacteria
Description: bacterial SSU rRNA
Rfam family: Bacterial small subunit ribosomal RNA
Source: RNAcentral
AGAGUUUGAUCCUGGCUCAGAACGAACGCUGGCGGCAGGCUUGACACAUGCAAGUCGAACGCGUGUAGCAAUACACGAGUGGCGCACGGGUGAGUAACGCGUGGAUAUCUGCCUUUUGGUUCGGAAUAGCCCCGGGAAACUGGGGCUAAUACCGGAUGGUUCCUUCGGGAUAAAGAUUUAUCGCCAAAAGAUGAGUCCGCGUACGAUUAGCUAGUUGGUGAGGUAAUGGCUCACCAAGGCGACGAUCGUUAGCUGGUCUGAGAGGACGAUCAGCCACACUGGGACUGAGACACGGCCCAGACUCCUACGGGAGGCAGCAGUGGGGAAUAUUGGAUAAUGGGGGCAACCCUGAUCCAGCCAUGCCGCGU